GAAUGAGGUUAGCAUGGUAGAGUGCGUUGAAAUUGAACUUGCAUGGUCAACGUUUCUGCUCUGUCUGAUGCAUAGCUUUGAGGUUUGAGGGCCUGGUUUCAACAACCUAUC
Molecule: non-coding RNA, 111 nt
Organism: Populus trichocarpa (black cottonwood)
Lineage: Eukaryota; Viridiplantae; Streptophyta; Magnoliopsida; Malpighiales; Salicaceae
Source: Rfam